UACGUAGGGGGCAAGCGUUGUCCGGAUUUAUUGGGCGUAAAGGGCGCGUAGGCGGUUUCUUAAGUUUGAAGUGACAGUGGGUGGCUUAACUACCCAAGGCCUUUUGAAAACUGGGGAACUUGAGGACCAGAGAGGGACAUAGAAUUCCGGGUGGAGUGGUGAAAUGCGUAGAGAUCCGGAGGAACACCAGUGGCGAAGGCGACACGCUGGGCCGUACCUGACACUGAUGCGCGACAGCAUGGGGAGCAACAGG
This 253-nucleotide ribosomal RNA is filed under the name uncultured bacterium. RNAcentral's name for it is "partial 16S ribosomal RNA". It matches the Rfam family "Bacterial small subunit ribosomal RNA", at positions 524 to 775 of the family's 1533-position model. The record is from RNAcentral.